AUUGAACGCUGGCGGAAUGCUUUACACAUGCAAGUCGAGCGGCAGCACGGGGGCAACCCUGGUGGCGAGCGGCGAACGGGUGAGUAAUACAUCGGAACAUGCCCAGUCGUGGGGGGAUAACACUUCGAAAGAAGUGCUAAUACCGCAUACGUCCUGAGGGAGAAAGCGGGGGAUCGCAAGACCUCGCGCGAUUGGAGUGGCCGAUGUCAGAUUAGCUAGUUGGUGGGGUAAAGGCCUACCAAGGCAACGAUCUGUAGCUGGUCUGAGAGGAUGAUCAGCCACACUGGGACUGAGACACGGCCCAGACUCCUACGGGAGGCAGCAGUGGGGAAUUUUGGACAAUGGGGGCAACCCUGAUCCAGCCAUUCCGCGUGAGUGAAGAAGGCCUCGGUUGGUAAGACGUCUUUCUACGCGAGAACGAAACGGACGAGUACUAAU
Molecule: ribosomal RNA, 438 nt
Filed under: uncultured bacterium
Lineage: Bacteria
Description: bacterial SSU rRNA
Rfam family: Bacterial small subunit ribosomal RNA
Source: RNAcentral